RNAcentral lists this ribosomal RNA (1069 nucleotides) under Magallana nippona (Iwagaki oyster). RNAcentral's name for it is "12S ribosomal RNA". The stretch from base 279 to 1052 matches the Rfam family "Microsporidia small subunit ribosomal RNA". The record is from RNAcentral. Lineage: Eukaryota; Metazoa; Mollusca; Bivalvia; Ostreida; Ostreidae.
GCUAAGCAUUUGGUGAAGUAUUGUAGGGGCUAUAAAACACAUGCUUAUUAGCAGUAAUUUGCAGCUAAAUUAAUGUAAUAGCUUUGAGUAAAAGUGUUAGUAAAAAAAAUAUUUGGUUCUGGUAUAAUGUUAGCUACAGAGUUUUUUACAUUACACAAUGUAGGAUAAUUUCGUGAUGUGUAAAAGUCUGAUUUACGUGAUAAGCCAAAAUUUAAGACAUCCUAAAAGGAUGGGCUGGCAGCGGGAGCAUAAGUUUUUAAUGAUGACGCGAAGGAAAUCACAACUCAAGUGGGUAGAUCUGGAAAUCAAUGAGUUCUAGCUUGAAACGAAUAAAAAACUAACUAAAUUGAAGCGAAAGGGGGUGCCAGCAGCUGCGGUCACUCCCCCUAUCGAGGAGCUAAUAAGGGUGCAGCUUAGAGGCAGUUAGUCAAAACGAAUAAUGCAAGACAUACAGCAGGGACUAUGGGUGAAAUCUCAGUCCUGCGGGAGGUCCAAAGCUUGCGUAAAGAUGAUUCUGCGAAGUUAUGGGCAUAGACCCGGAUUUGAUACCCGGUUAUUCCAUAAUGUCAAGUACAGCUAUUUUAACUGAAUAAAUAGUUUGCUAGGGGUACUACGAGCAACUGCUUAAAACUCGAAGAACUUGGCGGUUCCGUAUAACCACCCAGAGGCUCUUGGCGCUUAAUCUGAUGAUCCGCGUGAUAUCUUACCUGCCCUAUAGAAAGCAGUGUACUGCCGUCGAAAGCUUAUGAUGUGAGUAAAUGAAAAUAGGCCUGAUCUUGGGGUUUUAAGUGAUUAGUACCAUGCCGAGGCUAGGUCAGGUCGAAGUGCUCCUUAUGGGCAAGGGGUUAGCUGAGAGACAAGUAUUUAGAUAUAUAAAGAUUUUAGGGAUGAAAUUCUCUUUAGUGUAUAUAAGGAUUUGGGAGUAAAAAGAGAGUAACUCGUUUUUUUGAAAAGACGCAACUGCGGUGCGUUCAAAUCGCCCGUCACCCUAGCCAAAAGGAGAGGUAAGUCGUAACAUGGUAAGGGUAGGGGAACUUGCUCUUUUAAUUGUAAAUAUAAAAUAGUUUAC